This 1168-nucleotide ribosomal RNA is filed under the name Salmonella enterica. RNAcentral's name for it is "partial 23S ribosomal RNA". It matches the Rfam family "Bacterial large subunit ribosomal RNA", at positions 1 to 1211 of the family's 2925-position model. Lineage: Bacteria; Pseudomonadati; Pseudomonadota; Gammaproteobacteria; Enterobacterales; Enterobacteriaceae. The record is from RNAcentral.
GGUUAAGCGACUAAGCGUACACGGUGGAUGCCCUGGCAGUCAGAGGCGAUGAAGGGCGUACUAAUCUGCGAUAAGCGCCGGUAAGGUGAUAUGAACCGUUAUAACCGGCGAUACCCGAAUGGGGAAACCCAGUGUGAUUCGUCACACUAUCAUUAACUGAAUCCAUAGGUUAAUGAGGCGAACCGGGGGAACUGAAACAUCUAAGUACCCCGAGGAAAAGAAAUCAACCGAGAUUCCCCCAGUAGCGGCGAGCGAACGGGGAGGAGCCCAGAGCCUGAAUCAGCAUGUGUGUUAGUGGAAGCGUCUGGAAAGGCGCGCGAUACAGGGUGACAGCCCCGUACACAAAAGCGCAUGUGCUGUGAGCUCGAUGAGUAGGGCGGGACACGUGGUAUCCUGUCUGAAUAUGGGGGGACCAUCCUCCAAGGCUAAAUACUCCUGACUGACCGAUAGUGAACCAGUACCGUGAGGGAAAGGCGAAAAGAACCCCGGCGAGGGGAGUGAAAAAGAACCUGAAACCGUGUACGUACAAGCAGUGGGAGCACCCUUUGGGUGUGACUGCGUACCUUUUGUAUAAUGGGUCAGCGACUUAUAUUCUGUAGCAAGGUUAACCGAAUAGGGGAGCCGGAGGGAAACCGAGUCUUAACCGGGCGUUAAGUUGCAGGGUAUAGACCCGAAACCCGGUGAUCUAGCCAUGGGCAGGUUGAAGGUUGGGUAACACUAACUGGAGGACCGAACCGACUAAUGUUGAAAAAUUAGCGGAUGACCUGUGGCUGGGGGUGAAAGGCCAAUCAAACCGGGAGAUAGCUGGUUCUCCCCGAAAGCUAUUUAGGUAGCGCCUCGUGAAUUCAUCUCCGGGGGUAGAGCACUGUUUCGGCUAGGGGGCCAUCCCGGCUUACCAACCCGAUGCAAACUGCGAAUACCGGAGAAUGUUAUCACGGGAGACACACGGCGGGUGCUAACGUCCGUCGUGAAGAGGGAAACAACCCAGACCGCCAGCUAAGGUCCCAAAGUCAUGGUUAAGUGGGAAACGAUGUGGGAAGGCCCAGACAGCCAGGAUGUUGGCUUAGAAGCAGCCAUCAUUUAAAGAAAGCGUAAUAGCUCACUGGUCGAGUCGGCCUGCGCGGAAGAUGUAACGGGGCUAAACCAUGCACCGAAGCUGCGGCAGCGA